RNAcentral lists this ribosomal RNA (468 nucleotides) under uncultured bacterium. RNAcentral's name for it is "partial 16S ribosomal RNA". It matches the Rfam family "Bacterial small subunit ribosomal RNA", at positions 28 to 507 of the family's 1533-position model. The record is from RNAcentral.
GACGAACGCUGGCGGCGUGCUUAACACAUGCAAGUCGAACGGAAAGGCCCUGCUUUUGUGGGGUGCUCGAGUGGCGAAAGGGUGAGUAACACGUGAGUAACCUGCCCUUGACUUUGGGAUAACUUCAGGAAACUGGGGCUAAUACCGGAUAGGAGCUCCUGCUGCAUGGUGGGGGUUGGAAAGUUUCGGCGGUUGGGGAUGGACUCGCGGCUUAUCAGCUUGUUGGUGGGGUAGUGGCUUACCAAGGCUUUGACGGGUAGCCGGCCUGAGAGGGUGACCGGCCACAUUGGGACUGAGAUACGGCCCAGACUCCUACGGGAGGCAGCAGUGGGGAAUAUUGCACAAUGGGCGGGAGCGUGAUGCAGCAACGCCGCGUGCGGGAUGACGGCCUUCGGGUUGUAAACCGCUUUCGCCUGUGACGAAGCGUGAGUGACGGUAAUGGGUAAAGAAGCACCGGCUAACUACGUG